CAGUGGUAUGAGUAGUCCUUUGACCUACAGUAUAUUGGCUAUUUGUAGUGAGAUUGCUAUAGUUUGACUGCACGUCUACUUGAUCCCUAGCCAUUCGGGUCCUUGCCGCAUAUGUUGGCUAUGGUGGGUUCAAGUUCACUGUUAAGAGUAGAAUGCACUUAGAUGGAAUCUAUUAAUCUUAAUAGAAAAAGAAUAGUCUUUUGUGAUUCACAAGACUGAGUUCAGUAAGUCUUUGGCUAAAGCAAG
Molecule: long non-coding RNA, 246 nt
Filed under: Elaeis guineensis (African oil palm)
Lineage: Eukaryota; Viridiplantae; Streptophyta; Magnoliopsida; Arecales; Arecaceae
Description: long non-coding RNA (EGUI_LNC082926)
Source: RNAcentral